UAGGGAAUCUUCGGCAAUGGGGGCACCGUAGCACCGGACGCAACGCCGCGUGAGUGAAGAAGGUUUUCGGAUCGUAAAACUCUGUUGUUAGAGAAGAAUGUGUAGGAGAGUAAAAAGUUCUUACAGUGACGGUAUCUAACCAGAAAGGGACGGCUAACUACGUGCCAGCAGCCGCGGUAAUACGUAGGUCCCAAGCGUUGUCCGGAUUUAUUGGGCGUAAAGCGAGCGCAGGUGGUUUAAUAAGUCUGAUGUAAAAGGCAGUGGCUCAACCAUUGUAUGCAUUGGAAACUGUUAGACUUGAGUACAGUAGAGGAGAGUGGAAUUCCAUGUGUAGCGGUGAAAUGCGUAGAUAUAUUGG
RNAcentral lists this ribosomal RNA (358 nucleotides) under uncultured Lactococcus sp. Its description in RNAcentral is "bacterial SSU rRNA". It matches the Rfam family "Bacterial small subunit ribosomal RNA", at positions 355 to 702 of the family's 1533-position model. Lineage: Bacteria; Bacillati; Bacillota; Bacilli; Lactobacillales; Streptococcaceae. The record is from RNAcentral.